This 31-nucleotide non-coding RNA is filed under the name Homo sapiens (human). Lineage: Eukaryota; Metazoa; Chordata; Mammalia; Primates; Hominidae. The record is from RNAcentral.
UGUCCAGGAGCUGCUUCCAGGUUGCCUGGGA